GUGUUGGAUGGGGAGUCUCUCCCAGCAGCAUCUGCGUCAUCUGCCUCCUCAUCAGAAAUCUUGAACUCCAAAUCUUCAGUGUAGCGCUUCCUUUUCACCUGCCUGCUGGACCGCCUCUUCUGCAACAGAACCCCGACAAAUGCCCGCAAGGACUUCAACCUGCCGUGGAAGACUUAACCUGCCAAGCAGACAUCAUCAGUUCUCUUUCAAAUUCUGGGAAUGGCGGGAAGAUGCUUAGAGCCGUACAAUGGCCAUGCUCUUGUCUGAAAUCCUAACUAUCAGUUCUGUAAGCACCGAGCCAAGUUGUGAUUUUUAUAAUAAGAAGCUGGUUGCUAGAUAAUAUAUUUUAAUCUAGUAAAACUCUGGAUAAAUCAA
Molecule: long non-coding RNA, 375 nt
Organism: Rattus norvegicus (Norway rat)
Lineage: Eukaryota; Metazoa; Chordata; Mammalia; Rodentia; Muridae
Source: RefSeq, a predicted model, not a curated record